This 1381-nucleotide ribosomal RNA is filed under the name uncultured bacterium. RNAcentral's name for it is "bacterial SSU rRNA". It matches the Rfam family "Bacterial small subunit ribosomal RNA", at positions 18 to 1394 of the family's 1533-position model. The record is from RNAcentral.
CCUGGCUCAGGAUGAACGCUAGCUACAGGCUUAACACAUGCAAGUCGAGGGGCAGCAUGGUCUUAGCUUGCUAAGGCCGAUGGCGACCGGCGCACGGGUGAGUAACACGUAUCCAACCUGCCGUCUACUCUUGGACAGCCUUCUGAAAGGAAGAUUAAUACAAGAUGGCAUCAUGAGUCCGCAUGUUCACAUGAUUAAAGGUAUUCCGGUAGACGAUGGGGAUGCGUUCCAUUAGAUAGUAGGCGGGGUAACGGCCCACCUAGUCUUCGAUGGAUAGGGGUUCUGAGAGGAAGGUCCCCCACAUUGGAACUGAGACACGGUCCAAACUCCUACGGGAGGCAGCAGUGAGGAAUAUUGGUCAAUGGGCGAGAGCCUGAACCAGCCAAGUAGCGUGAAGGAUGACUGCCCUAUGGGUUGUAAACUUCUUUUAUAAAGGAAUAAAGUCGGGUAUGGAUACCCGUUUGCAUGUACUUUAUGAAUAAGGAUCGGCUAACUCCGUGCCAGCAGCCGCGGUAAUACGGAGGAUCCGAGCGUUAUCCGGAUUUAUUGGGUUUAAAGGGAGCGUAGAUGGAUGUUUAAGUCAGUUGUGAAAGUUUGCGGCUCAACCGUAAAAUUGCAGUUGAUACUGGAUAUCUUGAGUGCAGUUGAGGCAGGCGGAAUUCGUGGUGUAGCGGUGAAAUGCUUAGAUAUCACGAAGAACUCCGAUUGCGAAGGCAGCCUGCUAAGCUGCAACUGACAUUGAGGCUCGAAAGUGUGGGUAUCAAACAGGAUUAGAUACCCUGGUAGUCCACACGGUAAACGAUGAAUACUCGCUGUUUGCGAUAUACUGCAAGCGGCCAAGCGAAAGCGUUAAGUAUUCCACCUGGGGAGUACGCCGGCAACGGUGAAACUCAAAGGAAUUGACGGGGGCCCGCACAAGCGGAGGAACAUGUGGUUUAAUUCGAUGAUACGCGAGGAACCUUACCCGGGCUUAAAUUGCAGAUGAAUUACGGUGAAAGCCGUAAGCCGCAAGGCAUCUGUGAGGGUGCUGCAUGGUUGUCGUCAGCUCGUGCCGUGAGGUGUCGGCUUAAGUGCCAUAACGAGCGCAACCCUUGUUGUCAGUUACUAACAGGUUCCGCUGAGGACUCUGACAAGACUGCCAUCGUAAGAUGUGAGGAAGGUGGGGAUGACGUCGAAUCAGCACGGCCCUUACGUCCGGGGCUACACACGUGUUACAAUGGGGGGUACAGAGGGCCGCUACCACGCGAGUGGAUGCCAAUCCCCAAAACCUCUCUCAGUUCGGACUGGAGUCUGCAACCCGACUCCACGAAGCUGGAUUCGCUAGUAAUCGCGCAUCAGCCACGGCGCGGUGAAUACGUUCCCGGGCCUUGUACACACCGCC